RNAcentral lists this ribosomal RNA (427 nucleotides) under uncultured bacterium. RNAcentral's name for it is "partial 16S ribosomal RNA". It matches the Rfam family "Bacterial small subunit ribosomal RNA", at positions 355 to 774 of the family's 1533-position model. The record is from RNAcentral.
UGGGGAAUAUUGCACAAUGGGCGCAAGCCUGAUGCAGCCAUGCCGCGUGUAUGAAGAAGGCCUUCGGGUUGUAAAGUACUUUCAGCGGGGAGGAAGGCGAUAAGGUUAAUAACCUUGUCGAUUGACGUUACCCGCAGAAGAAGCACCGGCUAACUCCGUGCCAGCAGCCGCGGUAAUACGGAGGGUGCAAGCGUUAAUCGGAAUUACUGGGCGUAAAGCGCACGCAGGCGGUCUGUCAAGUCGGAUGUGAAAUCCCCGGGCUCAACCUGGGACCUGCAUUCGAAACUGGCAGGCUAGAGUCUUGUAGAGGGGGGUAGAAUUCCAGGUGUAGCGGUGAAAUGCGUAGAGAUCUGGAGGAAUACCGGUGGCGAAGGCGGCCCCCUGGACAAAGACUGACGCUCAGGUGCGAAAGCGUGGGGAGCAAACA